AAGUCGUAACAAGGUUUCCGUAGGUGAACCUGCGGAAGGAUCAUUAACACUUUUUAUUAUUUUGUUUUUUUUCUAAAACAAAAUUUAAAACCCCACAAUUUUGGAUGAAUUUAAUUAAUUUAUUUUUUAUUUUAUUUUUUUUUUAUUAUAACCCUAUUAUUUUGACUAACAUUUUUAUUUAAUUAUUAAAAAAUUAAAAAAACAACUCUUAACAACGGAUAUCUUGGCUCUC
Molecule: unclassified non-coding RNA, 232 nt
Filed under: fungal sp.
Lineage: Eukaryota; Fungi
Description: partial internal transcribed spacer region
Rfam family: Eukaryotic small subunit ribosomal RNA (bases 1-46)
Source: RNAcentral